GAUGAACGCUGGCGGCGUGCCUAAUACAUGCAAGUCGAGCGAACAGAUGAGGAGCUUGCUCCUCUGACGUUAGCGGCGGACGGGUGAGUAACACGUGGAUAACCUACCUAUAAGACUGGGAUAACUUCGGGAAACCGGAGCUAAUACCGGAUAAUAUAUUGAACCGCAUGGUUCAAUAGUGAAAGACGGUUUUGCGGUCACUUAUAGAUGGAUCCGCGCCGCAUUAGCUAGUUGGUAAGGUAACGGCUUACCAAGGCAACGAUGCGUAGCCGACCUGAGAGGGUGAUCGGCCACACUGGAACUGAGACACGGUCCAGACUCCUACGGGAGGCAGCAGUAGGGAAUCGUCCGCAAUGGGCGAAAGCCUGACGGAGCAACGCCGCGUGAGUGAUGAAGGUCUUCGGAUCGUAAAACUCUGUUAUUAGGGAAGAACAAAUGUGUAAGUAACUAUGCACGUCUUGACGGUACCUAAUCAGAAAGCCACGGCUAACUACGUG
This 497-nucleotide ribosomal RNA is filed under the name uncultured bacterium. Its description in RNAcentral is "partial 16S ribosomal RNA". It matches the Rfam family "Bacterial small subunit ribosomal RNA", at positions 28 to 507 of the family's 1533-position model. The record is from RNAcentral.